ACGAACGCUGGCGGCGUGCUUAACACAUGCAAGUCGAACGGAAAGGCCCUGCUUUUGUGGGGUGCUCGAGUGGCGAACGGGUGAGUAACACGUGAGUAACCUGCCCUUGACUUUGGGAUAACUUCAGGAAACUGGGGCUAAUACCGGAUAGGAGCUCCUGCUGCAUGGUGGGGGUUGGAAAGUUUCGGCGGUUGGGGAUGGAUUCGCGGCUUAUCAGCUUGUUGGUGGGGUAGUGGCUUACCAAGGCUUUGACGGGUAGCCGGCCUGAGAGGGUGACCGGCCACAUUGGGACUGAGAUACGGCCCAGACCCCUACGGGAGGCAGCAGUGGGGAAUAUUGCACAAUGGGCGGAAGCCUGAUGCAGCAACGCCGCGUGCGGGAUGACGGCCUUCGGGUUGUAAACCGCUUUCGCCUGUGACGAAGCGUGAGUGACGGUAAUGGGUAAAGAAGCACCGGCUAACUACGUG
Molecule: ribosomal RNA, 467 nt
Filed under: uncultured bacterium
Lineage: Bacteria
Description: partial 16S ribosomal RNA
Rfam family: Bacterial small subunit ribosomal RNA
Source: RNAcentral